CCUACGGGAGGCAGCAGUGGGGAAUAUUGGGCAAUGGGCGCAAGCCUGACCCAGCAACGCCGCGUGAAGGAAGAAGGCUUUCGGGUUGUAAACUUCUUUUAAGAGGGACGAGCAGAAGACGGUACCUCUUGAAUAAGCCACGGCUAACUACGGGCCAGCAGCAGCGGUAAUCAGUAGGUGGCAAGCUUUGUCCGGAUUUACUGGGUGUAAAGGGCGUGUAGCCGGGCUGGCAAGUCAGAUGUGAAAUUCCGGGGCUCAACCCCGGACCUGCAUUUGAAACUGUUGGUCUUGAGUGUCGGAGAGGCAGGCGGAAUUCCUAGUGUAGCGGUGAAAUGCGUAGAUAUUAGGAGGAACACCAGUGGCGAAGGCGGCCUGCUGGACGACAACUGACGGUGAGGCGCGAAAGCGUGGGGAGCAAACAGGAUUAGAUACCCCUGUAGUC
Molecule: ribosomal RNA, 442 nt
Filed under: uncultured bacterium
Lineage: Bacteria
Description: partial 16S ribosomal RNA
Rfam family: Bacterial small subunit ribosomal RNA
Source: RNAcentral